CGAAUCAAGACUCGAUAACCCUUUGUUUUGGGUCUCUUCUGCACUGGGGGAGCUUGCCGCAGUCGAGCGAAUGGAUCGCAAGGUGGUGGACAUGUACAUGUGAUCUCAAGGUGAAGUCCCAAGAAGUCCUCGUCCCGUUUAAGAGGGCUCUACGGCACAAGAAAUGCUGAGACGUCGGUGUUGGAUGGAAUCCUGCGGCCGCUCCAGUGAGAUAUUUGGUGUUGGGAUCUGUUGCGGCCAAUCCCCUGGAGUGUCGGCGAAGAGCAUUUGCAAAAAAAGUUCACACUAACCGAAGCUGUGUCUGGGAUCUUCUGAUGCUUAAAUCAGAGAGAAGUGGCCGAGCAGGUAGAGAGAGAGAGAGAGGAAAUGUUAAAGCAGAUUGCAGCAGAAGAAAAGGCCAACUGGCCAAGCAUUUGGAGGUCAUCAAAGAAGUUCAUGGAACAAGAAGCUUGCGAAAGAGGCCUUGGAUAGACAUAGCAGAAAUUGUUGCCAGCAAGGUGUUGUCAGAGUAAUCAAGUGUGGUAGAUGCCCUUAUCUCAAAUGACAAAAGAUGCUGAAGUUGCUCAAGGAAUGAAAUAGAGGUCAGGAGUGAUGACUUCUCUGAUACCAAGGAGAUUACCGAAGGAAAUUAUGGUGAUAUAUGCAAAUGCAACCUUGGCCACACCCCAGUAGCUGUCAUGGUUCUUCGGUAGCAUAAAGAGGAGUUCUAAGAGGGGUACGCUACAAGGCUAUAAUUCUUGAGGUCUG
Elaeis guineensis (African oil palm) is the source of this 747-nucleotide non-coding RNA. The record is from RefSeq and is a predicted model, not a curated record. NCBI's taxonomy places the organism in Eukaryota, Viridiplantae, Streptophyta, Magnoliopsida, Arecales, Arecaceae.